This 333-nucleotide ribosomal RNA is filed under the name Minutocellus polymorphus. RNAcentral's name for it is "SSU rRNA". It matches the Rfam family "Eukaryotic small subunit ribosomal RNA", at positions 627 to 961 of the family's 1831-position model. Lineage: Eukaryota; Bacillariophyta; Thalassiosirophyceae; Cymatosirales; Cymatosiraceae. The record is from RNAcentral.
CUCGUAGUUGGAUUUCUGGUGGGAGCGAUCGGUCUGGCGCUUAGCGCGAGUACUUGCAUCGUCUCCGGCCAUCCUUGGGGAGAGUCUGUCUGGCAUUAGGUUGUCGGGCAGAGGAUCCUCAUCGUUUACUGUGAAAAAAUUAGAGUGUUCAAAGCAGGCUUAUGCCGUUGAAUAUAUUAGCAUGGAAUAAUAAGAUAGGACUUUGGUACUAUUUUGUUGGUUUGCGCACCAAAGUAAUGAUUAAUAGGGACAGUUGGGGGUAUUCGUAUUCCGUUGUCAGAGGUGAAAUUCUUGGAUUUACGGAAGACGAACUACUGCGAAAGCAUUUACCAA